AAAGGAAAGUCCUAGCUUUCAGACUGUCUGAGCUCACUUCAGACAGUUCUGUCUGGAGUCUCCAAACCCAGCAGAUUCCUGCAUUGCACCCCUGCGCCACUCCUCCUGGAGGAGGAAGGAGGAGGUCUCCCUG
This 133-nucleotide long non-coding RNA is filed under the name Mustela putorius furo (domestic ferret). Its description in RNAcentral is "lncRNA (ENSMPUG00000024903.1)". The record is from RNAcentral. Lineage: Eukaryota; Metazoa; Chordata; Mammalia; Carnivora; Mustelidae.